AAGAUUUUGUGACGUCGACUAAAUGGGGUGGCGCUUCGGCGAUUAAAUCUCCCAGCCGUCAUCCUCCCCGACGUUCUCAUCGGAGCUGCCACUAUCUCUCCGCGCUGUCAAUGUUCUCACUGGAGUAGCCACAACCUUGAGAUCGACUCGCCGACGUUCUCCCCGACUCUACAACCACCUCUAGACCGGCACUGCCAGCACCUCGAGGACAGCGCUUACGUUCUCCUGGCGACGUUUUCCCCCCACUCUGCCAUCACCGUGAGACCGGCGCUGCCACCACGUCGAGGCCAACACUGACGUUCUCCCGAGCUGCCACCCUCAUCGACCUGUUCCCUGUCCUCGUCACUACCACCACCUCUUCCCUACGCCGCCACUAAAUUGAGACUGAAGCUGCUACUAUCACUUCUCCCUGACACUACCACUGCUCUCCCCGACGCUACCACUGCUCUCCCCGACAUCCAUCCUGCCUCUCUACGGUGCUGCAUUGAGGAUCGAUCAAUUGUCAUCAAAUGGAGAAGAUAAGUUCGGGGCUCUAUCAGCUCAAGCGUCGGAAUCUGGUGUGGCUAUUAGUGAUGAUGAGCUGUAUCGCCAGGUUGUUGGACCUGAGAGGCAUGGUCGUACUCGGGGUUAUGUGUUAGGUCUAACUCCAAGUACUGUCUUUGGGACUACCCCUGGCCGCAUUGAGCUUGCAUCCCAGCUUCAUGCGGCUAGCACUCAAAACAUUGAGCUAAGAUCAAAGAUAGAUAACUUGGAGAAGAAAAUAGAAGAUGAUAGGAAGAAGAUAGAGGAGAGGAUGGAGGAAAGAAGGAUGAUUGAGGAGAGGAUGGAAGUUGUGAGGGAGAAAAUGGAGGAAAAGAUGGAGGAGGAUCGAAGGAAGAUGGAUAUGCUACUCGUUUUUGUUGAGGAGAUGAACCGGAAAGAAAUGCUUCAGUUGGAAAAUGAAUCGCUUCGUUGAUAGUCGAUAGUGAUUGUUCUACGGUGAUAAUCGUGAACUUAUGCAUUAUUAUGAUGGGAAUUUGAUGUAAGGACGAAGACUUAUCCUAUGAAUCUACUUUUUUUUGGUGAAUUACGAAUCCACUUUAGGGAUAACGUAGACCUCUAUUUUGUUUUUAAGUUGGUGAACUGUAGUUUGCAGUAUUAUUAUUGUUUUAGGUGUAAUGAGAUUCACAUCACAUUGUAAGACUUUUUGGUCGUAAUGUAUGGAUAUGGUUAA
Punica granatum (pomegranate) is the source of this 1213-nucleotide non-coding RNA. The record is from RefSeq and is a predicted model, not a curated record. NCBI's taxonomy places the organism in Eukaryota, Viridiplantae, Streptophyta, Magnoliopsida, Myrtales, Lythraceae.